RNAcentral lists this long non-coding RNA (1114 nucleotides) under Astyanax mexicanus (Mexican tetra). RNAcentral describes it as "lncRNA (ENSAMXG00005008861.1)". The record is from RNAcentral. Lineage: Eukaryota; Metazoa; Chordata; Actinopteri; Characiformes; Acestrorhamphidae.
AGGUGUUGGUAAUUAGCCAAAUCAACCCUCGGCGCUGGGCUGGCGCGCCCUCCGAUGCCCUGGAGGAUGCCUCGAUCUGGCACCAGCCCUUACACCAACUCUCUCUCUUGUCUACAAGCAGACUGUUCCUUUCUCCCCUCCCCUUCUGCAGAGGAUGGACUCACCCAGGUAAGUAAAGCUAAGGGAGUAACCCACUGGUACUCUUUUGGCACUGAACAGAAAAGUAUGAGCACAGGUACGUAUAUAUACACAUAAUUGUCUAUAUGGUAAUGUGUAGUGUAACCUACAUCAUUACAAGUUACAUUUUAAAAUACAGCUGUCACUUUAAAUGUUAUUAUCAAGCAAGUGAUUCUUUAAAUUACCGUAUUUUAGAGACUCACCACUGGGGGCGCCUUAGUAAACAGGACUUUUUCUUUUAAAGUCAAACGAGCGAUGUAUGCUAAUCUACACAGAUUUCUCUCGUGAAAACUGUUUUAUCUAUCUAUCUAUCUAUCUAUCUAUCUAUCUAUCUAUCUAUCUAUCUAUCUAUCUAUCUAAUGGAUUUUAACUGUUGAAUUGUUUAUCGGGGGUCGUAUUUGUAUCAUGUAUUUUCUUGUGCACUGAUUGUAUGAUGUUUUCUGACCCUUUUGGCUGAAUAUGCAGGAUUAUGUGGUGGCUGGUUGUUAUGACCCCUGUUUGUGUGUGCUGCUGCUGUCUUCUGGGUGUUUUGUUGUUUUGGCAGUGUGCAGUCCUCACCCUAAACAAGCUUGAAAAAUCUUAGACACAGAGAAAUGUUUAGGGCUCAUUACUUUUGACGACCUGGGAAAACAUUCUGCUCAGGCCAAACUUCCACAUCCAUUUUACACUCUGUUAGCUUGUGAGCUUUGUUUUGUGUUUUUUGGCUUCUUUAAGUUUAGAUGGUUUGUAGAGUUUGUUGCAGUUAGUUUGGUUUUUUAAUUUGGCAUAUGCUAAAGCCACAUUUCCUCCACUGAUUGUUAGUCACACAGUGUCCAGGGUUUCAUCUGGCAGAGAGUAUGGGAAGAAUAGUUUUUGGGGCCUGUUUUAGCGUUCUAUAACGCACCAGUCAUUUGCAGAUUGCGCAGCUUGAUUUAGGGCGUGUCUUUGGUAUCGUGAG